RNAcentral lists this ribosomal RNA (433 nucleotides) under uncultured bacterium. Its description in RNAcentral is "partial 16S ribosomal RNA". It matches the Rfam family "Bacterial small subunit ribosomal RNA", at positions 29 to 507 of the family's 1533-position model. The record is from RNAcentral.
AACGAACGCUGGCGGCAGGCUUAACACAUGCAAGUCGAACGCACCUUUCGGGGUGAGUGGCAGACGGGUGAGUAACGCGUGGGAAUCUACCCUUCUCUACGGGAUAUCUCCGUGAAACUGGAAUUAAUACCGUAUACGUCCUGAGGGAGAAAGAUUUAUCGGGGAAGGAUGAGCCCGCGUUGGAUUAGCUAGUUGGUGGGGUAAAGGCCUACCAAGGGGACGAUCCAUAGCUGGUCUAAGAGGAUGAUCAGCAACAUUGGGACUGAGACACGGCCCAAACUCCUACGGGAGGCAGCAGUGGAGAAUAUUGGACAAUGGGCGCAAGCCUGAUCCAGCCAUGCCGCGUGAGUGAUGAAGGCCCUAGUGUUGUAAAGCUCUUUCAGAGGGGACGAUAAUGACGGUACCCACAGAAGAAGCCCCGGCUAACUUCGUG